RNAcentral lists this ribosomal RNA (412 nucleotides) under uncultured bacterium. RNAcentral describes it as "bacterial SSU rRNA". It matches the Rfam family "Bacterial small subunit ribosomal RNA", at positions 28 to 448 of the family's 1533-position model. The record is from RNAcentral.
GAUGAACGCUGGCGGCGUGCCUAAUACAUGCAAGUCGAACGGGUGCAGCGAUGUACUAGUGGCGAACGGGUGAGUAACACGUUGGUGACCUGCCCCAAAGAGGGGAAUACCACUUGGAAACGAGUGACAAAACCGCAUAAGCUGUCGAGGAUUAGAAGCUUGACAGUAAAAGAGAAAUCUACUUUGGGAGGGGCCUGCGGCCCAUCAGCUAGUUGGAGAGGUAACGGCUCACCAAGGCGAAGACGGGUAGGGGACCUGAGAGGGUGAUCCCCCACAAUGGAACUGAAACACGGUCCAUACACCUGCGGGUGGCAGCAGUAGGGAAUAUUGCUUAAUGGGCGAAAGCCUGAAGCAGCAACGCCGCGUGAACGAAGAAGGCCUUCGGGUCGUAAAGUUCUUUUACGUGGGAUGA